This 419-nucleotide ribosomal RNA is filed under the name bacterium. Its description in RNAcentral is "partial 16S ribosomal RNA". It matches the Rfam family "Bacterial small subunit ribosomal RNA", at positions 355 to 776 of the family's 1533-position model. The record is from RNAcentral.
UGGGGGAUAUUGCACAAUGGGCGAAAGCCUGAUGCAGCGACGCCGCGUGGGGGAUGAAGGCCUUCGGGUUGUAAACUUCUUUUGCUCUGAACAAGGCGCACCAUGGGGUGUGUUGAGUGUAGGGGUUGAUUAGCGCCGGCUAACUACGUGCCAGCAGCCGCGGUAAUACGUAGGGCGCGAGCGUUGUCCGGAAUUAUUGGGCGUAAAGGGCUUGUAGGUGGCUGGUUGCGUCUGUCGUGAAAGCUCAUGGCUUAACUGUGGGUUUGCGGUGGGUACGGGCUGGCUUGAGUGCAGUAGGGGAGGCUGGAAUUCCUGGUGUAGCGGUGGAAUGCGCAGAUAUCAGGAGGAAUACCGGUGGCGAAGGCGGGUCUCUGAGCUGUUACUGACACUGAGGAGCGAAAGCAUGGGGAGCGAACAGG